AUUUGACCCAAAUGUACACUGUAUCAUGCAACAUACAACAAGGAAUCAAACUGAAGAUACUAUCAAACAAACUUCUCUUUGGUUCUAAUCUGCAAAAUUCUCAGGUAUUUUUGGGUCAAAUUUUCUGCAGWACKGUAUAUACAACAAGAUCCCAGCUUCUCAUGCUUCAUCUGGGGCACANUCUGGUUAAAAUUGCACNACMAAAUGUACACAUCAAGGAUAUCAGGAAAUGKKUUUGACAGUAAAAGGUGCAGACAGUUAUAAAUAAACCCAACUGACCAUCAACUAAAUGAAUUCAGAAAACUAACAGAAAGCAUCUCACCAUUAGUCAAAGUUCUCGGUCUGUCCAGGACCGGGAUUGUUCACGUUAGGAACACAAAAUCCAGGUGGGGGUGCAAUUUGACCCCUCCCCAGCCCAGGGGUUAUAAUACCACGGCCGACAGCAUUUGGAACACCACCUCUACCUAUACCGCGUCCACUAGGCAUAACAGGUGUGAAAGCUUCUUGUGUACCUAUGUGUAUAAAAUGAUCAACAUUGGUAAAGUGUUACAAUAUAUACACACAGAAUGUGGAAAUUCCAUGAAAACUAAGAUUUCAAACAUGAACCAUAACUCUGCUGAAACUUGUUACAGCUAAAACAUAACUCCAGGUGCAUGAAUUACAAGUUGAUACACACUGCUCAAAUUUCAUGACCAUAACUNAAAUGAUUUUGAAUAUAAAUGCAACACAAAAAUAUGUCAAUGUCUGUCUAACUACAUGUCCACCUAAGAUUAACAGUUUAYAUGUGUGGGCAUUAGUCAUACCAUUAUGA
This 811-nucleotide small RNA is filed under the name Spisula solidissima (Atlantic surf clam). Its description in RNAcentral is "cnRNA140". Lineage: Eukaryota; Metazoa; Mollusca; Bivalvia; Venerida; Mactridae. The record is from RNAcentral.